RNAcentral lists this ribosomal RNA (602 nucleotides) under uncultured bacterium. RNAcentral's name for it is "bacterial SSU rRNA". It matches the Rfam family "Bacterial small subunit ribosomal RNA", at positions 338 to 957 of the family's 1533-position model. The record is from RNAcentral.
CCUACGGGAGGCAGCAGUGGGGAAUCUUGCGCAAUGGGCGAAAGCCUGACGCAGCAACGCCGCGUGCGGGAAGAAGGCUUUCGGGCUGUAAACCGCUUUCAGCAGGAACGAAAAUGACGGUACCUGCAGAAGAAGGAGCGGCCAACUAUGUGCCAGCAGCCGCGGUGAUACAUAGGCUUCAAGCGUUGUCCGGAUUUAUUGGGCGUAAAGAGUUCGUAGGCGGUCAAGUAAGUCGGGUGUGAAAAUUCUGGGCUCAACCCAGAGACGCCACCCGAUACUGCUUAACUUGAGUUCGAUAGGGGAGUGGGGAAUUCCUAGUGUAGCGGUGAAAUGCGCAGAUAUUAGGAGGAACACCGGUGGCGAAGGCGCCACUCUGGAUCGAUACUGACGCUGAGGAACGAAAGCAUGGGUAGCAAACAGGAUUAGAUACCCUGGUAGUCCAUGCCGUAAACGGUGGGCACUAGGUGUGGGUUUCUAUUAACGAAAUCCGCGCCGUCGCUAACGCAUUAAGUGCCCCGCCUGGGGAGUACGGUCGCGAGACGAAACGUACGAAGAAGUAGUAACGGCGUGAGAGUGCCGACGGACGACGACGAGGGAGGAGG